Molecule: ribosomal RNA, 377 nt
Filed under: uncultured bacterium
Lineage: Bacteria
Description: bacterial SSU rRNA
Rfam family: Bacterial small subunit ribosomal RNA
Source: RNAcentral
UAGGGAAUAUUGCACAAUGGAGGGAACUCUGAACCAGCCAUGCCGCGUGAAGGAAUAAGGCCCUAUGGGUCGUAAACUUCUUUUGGCGGGGAGCAAUAAGGUCUACGUGUAGACCGAUGAGAGUACUCGUUGAAUAAGCAUCGGCUAACUCCGUGCCAGCAGCCGCGGUAAUACGGAGGAUGCGAGCGUUAUCCGGAUUUAUUGGGUUUAAAGGGUGCGUAGGCUGUUUGUCAAGUCAGAGGUGAAAGGCCGCAGCUCAACUGUGGAAUUGCCUUUGAUACUGGCAGGCUUGAAUACUGUUGCCGUGGGAGGAAUGAGUAGUGUAGCGGUGAAAUGCAUAGAUAUUACUCAGAACACCGAUUGCGAAGGCAUCUCAC